This is a long non-coding RNA of Salvia miltiorrhiza (redroot sage), 521 nucleotides long. RefSeq lists it as uncharacterized. The transcript is spliced from 2 exons. NCBI's taxonomy places the organism in Eukaryota, Viridiplantae, Streptophyta, Magnoliopsida, Lamiales, Lamiaceae. The record is from RefSeq and is a predicted model, not a curated record.
UGGUGUUCUUAACUCAAGAGAAAUGUUUUCAAUUAUUUAUUCAUUAAAUUUUGAAAACCCGGCUAAGUGAAUCAUAGAAUAUUAAGCACUACACCAUGACUUAAGAUUAGAUUCAAGGAGACCUAUUAAGAAUAGAAUUUCUUGUAGGCUUUAUGAACCAAGGGGAUUAGCGCUGCUUUCCCAAGACGAGUUUAUGUGAUUAUGAUCUUCAGGCUUUGCCUAUCCAGGUUGGCUGGCCGGUGCUGACGGGACUGAGCUGAGGCUAGGGUUCAAUUUCUAUGUAGACUUCCGCUGUAGUAAUAACUCUUAUACAUCUUUUGUUUUCUCAACUUAAGAUGACUUCAUGUCGAGCUUCAAUUUAAAAUUUCUAGUUUCGAGUUAAUGAACGUCGGUUGUCAGAAACAUGAAACAAAACUUGUGAUCCAAAGGGGCCUAGCCCGACUCGUUAUCUUAUUAUUCGGGUUUUAACAAGGUUGUUCCUUGUUUAUUUCUAUGAAUUAGUUGCACCUCGAUUAUAUUUA